GGCCGGGGAGCUCUCUCAUGAGAAGGAUCUCAUGAGGAUCUCUCGAGAUCUGCAUGUGACCAAACUGGGUGUCCAGAGCUGCUGACCAGGCAGCGGCUCCUCACUCAGUACCAGACAGAGCCACCCGCAGAGCUUCAAAAGAGAUAGGGUUGGGUACUCUCUGGCGUCCCUGCAAUGGUACCCACUUCCCUGUGCAUAAUUCCUCAUAGUAAGGAUUGCUUAACCAGACCUAGGCCACUGUAUACCCCAGGAUACCCCAAAGCUGUCAGUACAUUUGUGCAUUCACAAUGUGCAGUUUGAGGAAGAGCCAGUCCAAAGCUUUUAUGGGAUUCUCAAGUCUCCAGGACCCAAACAAGGUUAGGACUCACUACUGCUGAAAAGCCAGACCUCCGCUAAGCCAGAGCGGAUAGAGAACGCAGGCCUGACUCCGUCCAGAAAUGUGCUUUUUAAUAAAGGAUCCAGAAGGCUGAAGCCCUUUCCAGAAUCAAAGGAAUGCACGCUAGAGGGGACAUGGCAGUCCUGGCAUGAGAACUAUCUGGGGCAGGUGGCAGCCCCUGGUUUCUCCCCCACACAGAUGCUCACCCUCUCCUGGUCCAUCUGGAGCAGGCGGCAAUGCCAGGCAGGCAGGGGCUCGGUGUGGACCUGCGGCCCCACAGUGACGCUGUGUGGUGGAUCGAUGAAACAGCAGCGGAGGCAGCCACAGGGACUCCAGCUUUCAUUCUGGAGCAACACAAACAGGCACCCAGUGGGUCAUGAGCAGUUCAAGGGUGAAGAGAGGGGCCCUGAAGAGGGAGACAGCAGGCUUCUUGUUAAUAAGGUAGGUGUCACCGCUGUAGGACAGUUCUGGCUGAAGGAAUGCGGGCAGAGAGGUAUUCCUGUCAGGGUGGCCUUCAGCCUGCCUGUAUAGCCCUCUGAUCCUUUCGGCAGCCAGCCUGGACCUGGAUGUGGAAGCCACAGUGGAAAGACAUAGGAACUCAGCAUCGCAACAGGACAUGGGGGACACUGUCUGCUAACAGAGAUACUGUCUUGGAUUUUAUGUAGGCCAACAUCGUGCAGAGGCUUUGAGAUCUGAGGGGUUUGUUUGUUCCAGUGGAUAAUGUUCCAAAUCAAUAAAUGGAAGAAUGGGGUUCAGUCUCUUCCACCUGGU
Long non-coding RNA from Cavia porcellus (domestic guinea pig), 1147 nucleotides. RefSeq lists it as uncharacterized. The transcript is spliced from 3 exons. The record is from RefSeq and is a predicted model, not a curated record. Lineage: Eukaryota; Metazoa; Chordata; Mammalia; Rodentia; Caviidae.